This 405-nucleotide long non-coding RNA is filed under the name Brassica napus (rape). Its description in RNAcentral is "long non-coding RNA (BNAP_LNC005353)". Lineage: Eukaryota; Viridiplantae; Streptophyta; Magnoliopsida; Brassicales; Brassicaceae. The record is from RNAcentral.
AACUUUAUCCCAACCCCACCCCAUCCCCUAAAAUACUAAACCCUAAACUCUAAUCAGCGAACCUAAACCCAAAUAUAAACCAUAAAUCCAAAUAUAAACCCUAAACCCAAAUAGAAUGGAACAAAAUAAAUAGAAUAGUACAUACUGGUGAAAUUAUGAAAUAUCUAUGAUUGCAUGAAAGAAGUUAAUAAUGACUCCAACCAUAACCCCUCACCUUCUAAUUAGUAAACCCUAAACUAUAAUCACUAAACCCUAAACGCAAAUAUCAAAAUAUAAAAAUGUAUGCAAUAUUAUGCAAUAUUAAAUCAUAUUAUAUAAUAUUAAACUAUACAAUAUAAAUCAUAGUACGGUUUUUACAGAUUCAAAACAUGUAAUGAUAGUUAGAUAUUAAGAAAAUUACAAAAU